Long non-coding RNA from Dromaius novaehollandiae (emu), 2823 nucleotides. RefSeq lists it as uncharacterized. The transcript has 2 exons. Lineage: Eukaryota; Metazoa; Chordata; Aves; Casuariiformes; Dromaiidae. The record is from RefSeq and is a predicted model, not a curated record.
UCGGCCUGCAAAGGGCCGCCGCGACCAGGGCGGCUUCGGCCCGAAGAGCCGCGCUUCGCGCGCCUCGCACACCGCUCCGGGCCAUCGGCUGGGCCGCCCGCCCCGGCAGGAGCCGCAGCGGGCUGACGGCGCACAAAGGGAGCGGGGAAAGAGCCGAAAGGGGCCGAGCUUCCCCGAAGGUUACUGCCGGUCAGCCCACGGCCCCCGCAGCACGUCGGCUGCGUGUGCACAACAGCCCACAGCUCCUGACCGCGGCGGGGCCAAUCCGCGGCGCGCCGCCCUUGGCUGACUGCGCCCGGCCCAAUCCGCGCCCCGGCACCGCUGCCUCCUCGCCCGGGCAGCUGCCGCCGCGGGCCGCGCGGCCUCCCCCCCGCGCUCGGGCGCCGGGCCCACGGGGCGACGCCGGGCCCGCCGGGCCCCCAGCCCCUCGCCCCGCAGGCGGCAGCGGGACGUCGCUCUCGCCGGCCUCCCCGAAGAAGUCCCGCCUGACGUUGUCCCCGGUGCCGCCCCGCCGAGCAAGGGGACGACAGAGCAGGACACCCGGGAAGGGACGAACGUCCCCUCCCCCGGGGGCGGCUGCCCCCUUCCCCCGCCCGCUACCGUGCCCGCCCUUCCCGUGCGGGCGUCCCUUCGGUCCAGCGCAGCCACCACGGCGGUGCUUGCCCUUAACCGUCAGACGCUGGAGUCACGGGAGCUGUGAGCAUCGUGGCUUCCAUUCAAAAAGGAACUUCGAGGAGGUGGUAAACUUCUGGAAUUUGUUCGAUGGGAAGUCAUGGAGGCAGACAGCACCAGCACGAUCACGAAGAAACUGGAGAGACUCACAGGCAACAAGGUCCAUCAGCAGAGGCUAAAGACAGAGAUGUGCCCUUAGACAUGUGCAAGUUUUCAAGGAUGAGAGAAGACAGACAGCAGCCAGGUUUGCGAGCUCUCCCCAAAUAGCCUCUCUGGUUGCCACUGAUGGAGACAAAAUAACAGACAAGAUGGACCAUUGGUGUGACACGGUAAAAUAUUUCUUCUGGAAAACUUCACACCACUCCCACGGGGGUACAGCAGGCUAACGAAUUAUUGCCAGGAGUUAUCCUGCUCUAAAUUCUCCUCCGAUCUUCAUUCUAAUCACAGUAUGGGGAUACAGAGGGCUGCAGUCACAACUCCAGAAUCCCACCUGUGUUUUGAAGAAAACACUCCUAUUUUUCCCAUAUUGUUCAUUUUAGAUCUUCUAAUUCAUUUUUAUUACUACAAGUUUCUGAGAAGCCCAGCUGCCAAUUUAUGAAGAUCUCUGCUAGCAGAGCAUGCAAUACAUACCGAAUCUUUGAGAAUGAAGCUCAUAACUCAGUUUGCCACUCCUGACUAAUGAGCCCAUCUUAAACUCAUAAAUGCAUGAAUAUGUUCUUUGGACUAAUGACCACAUAACAUGCUGGGAUUGACGUGGUGGAAGAUACUGCAGACACAUGGGAGUUUUCAGGAAAUAUCAAGGCUCUUUAGAACCACUGCUAACAAUGCACUAGCUUUGUUUUAAUGUCUGCGUAGGAUUUAUUUUCUGUGUUUGAGAUUUUUCUUUGUCUCUAGUCUCUCCAAUUCCAAUUAAGCUGAGUCACGUGCAGGCAGUGCAUGAGGACUUGUAUUAGAGGAGCAUCAAAAAAUGAAAAUUCUUGUUUCAGAGAAAGUACCUGUUUCAGUACUGGUUUUCAUUUGCAUUCAGGACAUAGCCUGAAUGUGAAAAAAAUGAAGGAAAAAAUCCUCAAUCUUUUUUGAUUCAUCUGGAGACAAAGAGCUAGGAUCUUUCAGACUUCUUGUCUGGCUGUUUGUUCUUGAGGUAGUUUUCUCCUUCAGCUUCCCUUCUUUUCAAUUUUUACUCCUUCUAUCAUAAUAUAUAUAAUUGGCAUCUUUGCACACAAAUAUAGCUGAAAAGUCCUUCCAAGCAAGAGCUAAAAACAUUUCAUUUUAAAAAUACCCAAACCAGAACAUUUGAACAUGGCCAGAGUUUUUUUUCCUUUUUUCUCUUCCCAGAUGAUAUUUAUGGCAACACCAACAUGGUUUCAGAAGGCAUUUCACUUCUGAUCCAACUACAUUAUCUGCUGGCAAGGAGUCCCCUCAGUGGAAUUUAGCUGGUCAGGAGGAUGAUGCAGUUCUCAUACCCCUUGGGCUGGGCCAGCCUAUGGUCUGAGUCACUAGGAAUUAAUUCAUCUGGUUCCCCACUCUGCUAUUGGCUUCUUACAUGAGACUGGGCAAGUCACCUAAUCCCAGGUUUUUAUCCAGGAAUUGUCACGGAUGUUGCUUUCCUCCUUCCCAAUUUGUCUGUCAUGCUCUUUGGAGUAGACUUCACCUUCCACACCUAGCAUAGGGAAGUCUGAGUUUGGUUAAGGAUGUUAUGAUAACCCGAAUGACCAUAGGAGAAAGCAUCUGUUAUCUUCUCUAUUUGGAAUUCAACUAUUCCUGUUCCUGUGAGGUUGCCAAGGCAGGCCUGAAGGGCCUUCAGCCACCUCUUAGCCUUUGAGGAAAACUAGAGCAGGAUAGUAUUCCCCCUCCUUUUUUUUUUUUUUGCUGCAGAAACUCUUGACAGAGCCACAUUCCUGUGCAACAAGAAGGAACUGCAAUAAGCACUGAAACUAAAGCACCCUUUCCCAGGAUACACAUACACGGUUUUUUCUCUCGAGAGACUUAAAUCAGUUCUAGUUGUACGUGUAAAUAUUUAAUGUUUUUGAAUGAUUGAUGGGUUGAGAUAGAUCUCCUAAUGCCUGGUUUAUUCUAUGCCUGCAUCCUCAUCUGGAUGUCGUAAGCUAACAGAACAGCACAGCCUGGUAAUAAAAGUCUCUGCCAUGGGAA